AGAUGAUUAGGUCCAUCCAAAAGGAUAUGUAGCAAUGUGAUGAACCAUUAUAAGUCAGGCUCCAACCAAAUCUUACCGCAACCCUUUUGAGCCAUUUACAGUGUCUAAUAAUCUCUCAACAGACGAUGGGUGCGGGGCGUGAAAUGUUAAUCUCCUUGGACAAUGUAAGGGACAAGAACAUGAUGCAACUGAAGAAGAUUAACACUGCACUAUUCCCAAUUCGUUACAAUGAUAAAUACUACUCUGAUGCGCUCGCCUCUGCUGAUUUCACCAAGCUAGCAUAUUAUAGUGACAUUUGUGUCGGUUCAAUUGCGUGUCGACUUGAGAAGAAGGAAGAUGGAGCUGUUUGUGUUUAUAUAAUGACUUUGGGUGUUUUAGCUCCAUAUCGUGGUCUAGGUAUUGGUACAAAGCUGUUAAAUCAUGUUCUUGAUCUUAGUACAAAGCAGAAUAGCAGAGAGAUUUACUUGCAUGUGCAGACAAGUAAUGAAGAUGCCAUCAACUUCUAUAAGAAAUUUGGCUUUGAGGUCACUGAUACCAUCAAAAACUAUUACAUAAACAUUACCCCACCAGACUGUUAUGUCCUAACCAAGUUUAUCUCUCAAACAAAGAAAUGAGCCUUGACAUAGUUUUGAGGUUCUGAAACUUCUGGUUCUAGUUUUUGUUAUUUAUGGGGUAGUAUUCCACAAUUUUUGAACUGAUUUUGGCUUGAUCUUAAUGUUCAGCAAGUGGUUUUUAACGGUUAAAGAUGUAGGAGAGUUCAUGGUAUUGUAGAUUAGUUGUAUCGAAAGCUGAUCUGGGAUGGAAAUGUCAUCAUGGUGAGAAGGAAGAAAUGAAUGCUGAUAUGUGAUACGUCUA
Non-coding RNA from Solanum lycopersicum (tomato), 855 nucleotides. NCBI's taxonomy places the organism in Eukaryota, Viridiplantae, Streptophyta, Magnoliopsida, Solanales, Solanaceae. The record is from RefSeq and is a predicted model, not a curated record.